GACGAACGCUGGCGGCGUGCUUAACACAUGCAAGUCGAACGGAAAGGCCUUUUCGGCGGUACUCGAGUGGCGAACGGGUGAGUAACACGUGGGUGAUCUGCCCUGCACUCUGGGAUAAGCCUGGGAAACUGGGUCUAAUACCGGAUAGGACCGCACUUUAGUGUGUGUGGUGGAAAGUUUUUUCGGUGUAGGAUGAGCCCGCGGCCUAUCAGCUUGUUGGUGGGGUAAUGGCCUACCAAGGCGGCGACGGGUAGCCGGACUGAGAGGUUGGUCGGCCACAUUGAGACUGAGAUGCGGCCCAGACUCCUACGGGAGGCAGCAGUGGGGAAUAUUGCACAAUGGGCGCAAGCCUGAUGCAGCGACGCCGCGUGGGGGAUGACGGCCUUCGGGUUGUAAACUCCUUUCGCCAGGGACGAAGCGUUUUGUGACGGUACCUGGAGAAGAAGCACCGGCUAACUACGUG
RNAcentral lists this ribosomal RNA (463 nucleotides) under uncultured bacterium. RNAcentral describes it as "partial 16S ribosomal RNA". It matches the Rfam family "Bacterial small subunit ribosomal RNA", at positions 28 to 507 of the family's 1533-position model. The record is from RNAcentral.